Molecule: long non-coding RNA, 3737 nt
Organism: Peromyscus californicus insignis
Lineage: Eukaryota; Metazoa; Chordata; Mammalia; Rodentia; Cricetidae
Exons: 6
Source: RefSeq, a predicted model, not a curated record
CUUGAAGGUGUUGUCCAAGAUCUUGUUGAACAACUGAAUGAGCCAGUCACGGUUUACAGAGGAAAAGGGGAAUCUUUUUAUCUGUUUUUGUUUUUGGUAUGCGAUGGGGUGUGCCAUUGGCUCGUUUUGUGUACACACCCCUGGAAUGUGUUUUCUCAUUCACUUUGGAUCCCUUAGAAUGUGGUCUUACCCAGCCCUAUAGCUGGAGAAUUUCUCUCCAGCUCCUGCCAACCCCGCCAGUCCCGGAGCCCACUUAUAAAAUAAACACACAGACUCAUAUUAUUUAAACAGUUUGGCCUAAUGGCUCAGGCUUCUAGCUAUCUAGUUCUUUUAUCUUAAAUUAACCCAUUUUUAUUAAUCUAUAAGUUGCCAUGUGGCCCGUGGCUUACCAGUACCUUACAUCUUGCUCGUCAUGGCAGCAGCUGGCAGGUCUCUCUUCCCUUCCUGUUUCCUCAAUUCUCCUCUCUGUUAGUCCCACCUAUACUUCCUGUCUGGCCAUUGGCCAGUCAGUGUUUUAUUUAUAUAGAGCGAUAUCCACAGCACAGCUCCCUUCAGCCUAAUCCACGUGGCUUCUUCUGUCCUCAGCAUAAGCUCCUCCCCCUCCAAGUGCAUCCCCAUUUCUAACAUCCUAUGUUCUUCCUUCCUUCCUGCCUAGAAGAGAAGGCUAGAGAAGACGGAGGUUAUAUUCUCUUUUUCCCUGUGCAUCCUAGCCUAACGUAGUACUAGCUGCCACGUGAUACUAAUAUAACUCAAAUGCAGAAUGACUGAAUAAACGGAUGGAGGACGCUGAAUGAUUAUGAUAAUGUGAAGACCAAAGCAACUUUCCAGAUCUGAACGAUGGAGUGCUUUGAUGGACAUGGUGAGACCAAAGCCAUUAAAAAUUGCUGCAAUGUGGAGCGUGUGGCGGUGUUGGGAGGGGAGCAGGCGGGAAGUCAAGCAGACGAGAGGACGAUGAGCCGGAGCGGCUGUGUUCUAAGGUUGACAAAUGCGUUGGGUCACUACUGGGCUGUGGAUAGAGGAUUCCUCACGUCCCCAUGGCGCAGCCUCUGGUCCCCCCUGAGAAAAAGUAGUUUGUCCCCACGUAAGUUUAAUUGAAGGGGAAACCUUUCCACACGGUCUGCAGGUAUUCCCUACAGAGCCUGCUUGUGCUGCAGAAUUUAUUCAUUUGAUUCUAUCAUUUUGUGUGGUUUUUUUUAAAUCAUUAGAUAAUUAGAAGGACCAGGCCGUGAAGAUGCCUCAUGUUCUUUUACUGUCCAUCAGAUUUCUAAUGAGAAUAAAAGAUUUUUCUGCCUUCGGAGGGAAGGUCAUUUAGGUGCAAUGAUACACAGCUGUAACCUCAGCACUCAGGAGGAUUCUGAAUUCAAGGCCAAUCUGGACUACACAAUCAGACCUCAUCUCAGAGGGGAAAAAAAUGAAGCAAAGAAAGAAAAAAUAACUUUGAAAGCCACCCAAGAAGGGUGCCCAACUUUCAUCAUUGUUAUGUGUUUUGAACACAAAGGAACUAGCAGGACUGGAGCGGGGAAUCACUGAUUUGGCCAUAGUCAAAUAGUGAAGAGGGGAAUGAGAGCUUCCAGACCAGCCUUAUGCAGAGUGACGUGUGCCACAGUGAUUCUGAGACCGCUCGUGUUCACGGACUAAGACUGAGUCUGCCUAGGAUUGAAGCUCAGUUCUAGCUCUCGCCACUUGUUUGUUCUUGUGCCUUACCUGCCCUGCGGGUUUCUCCCUGAGAGAGACAGAGACAGAGACAGAGAGAGACAGAGAGAUGUAAAUGAGAGAAAUUUCAAAACAUUCACAAGCAUGCCCAUGAGCAGGUCAGAAGCUGUCCACAGACCUUAGGCUUAAGUCUUGCCAGCCUGGCAGACCUGCAAACCCAUUACCUCAGCCUUUCUAGUGCUGAAAUUACAAGAACUCCCGUGGCACUUGGACACUCAGAUUGGCCUGUCAGUGAGUCUGCAGGAUAUUUUCUUGGUUAAUGAUCAUUGUCAGAGGGCCCAGCUCACUGUGGACUGUGCCACCUCUGGGCAGGUGGUCCUGGGUGGUAUAAGAAAACAGGCUAAGGAAGUCAUGGAGGAAAACCUUGUAAGCGGCACCCCUCCAUGGUCUCUGCUUCAGUUCCUGCCUCUGGAUUCCUGCCUUGAGUUCCUGUUCUAACUUCCCCUCAGGCUGGACUGUUAUCUAAAACUGUAAAUUAAAACAAAUCCUUUUAAUUCAUCCUAGGCUGUUUUUAGUCAUGGUCUUUAUCAUAAAAGUAGAAAUCUAAGGAGCAAAUAUUUUAUGUUAUAGACAUUGGCUCCAGACAAAGUGACAGUCUUGCUGAGGAUUGUUAGUUAUUUUUCGGUGCUGUGCUCUUACCCUGCAAGGAAAUGUCACAAAACACAACAGAAUCCGCUAAUAAGAGUUUUAUUAAAGAUAAAAGGGACAGAGAGUGCUCAGGCCUGUAGGAAACAUGUAUGUGGAGAAGAAGGAAGAGCCGGAAGCAUGGCGCCGGCUUUUAAAGGCUGGGUGGUGUACAUGCGUACACAGGUCGAGGUAACCGUUCCACGUCUGCGCAGAUCACAUGGCUACGCUGAGUGCUCUUAUGUAACCAUGCAACAUCACGGAUCCUGGUCACAUGAGAUGCCUUGACCUGGAAAUGGCUGUCUUGACCUGGAACUGACUAGAUGGAAGUGUCCAGGUCCGCCAGGCAUCCUGGUCACGCGAGACGCCCUGACCUGGAACUGGCUAUCCUGACCUGGAACUGGCUAGGCGGAAGUGUUCACCAGGCAUAUGCAAACACGCCCGACCGUGGGGGCAUGUUGUGAACCCUUCAAGGAUGGCACCAGACUGUACAGGCAAAUAUUGAAGAACAUCACCUGAGCCUGUGGCUAUAGAGCAUCAACAAAUCAACAUUUUCUGCCUUGUAGAGGCUUUUCAUUUUGUAGGGAAAAUGUAAAAAAUUUUUUCUCUAAGCUUUUUGGCCUUCUCCAAAUGUUUCACAUUGGUCUUAAGAGACAACAGAACAGCUAAACUGUUUUAUUUCUAACUUUCAUGCUAAGGCAAAAGAGGCCUAAUUCAAUAGGUUAAAUGUGGGGUCUCUGAAUUAAACCUUAAUUCUGUAAUUCAGAAAAUUUCAUCAAGUGCUUGUACCGUUUCUGGAUUCACAGUCAGCCAUGGAUGCCAAAUUUAUAAAUGUUCAUGGCAAGAGAACGACGAGCCAGGAUGCACUGAGAAUUGUUUCCCACCGCGGUCUUGCUGGCUAAAGCAUAUCAUGUAUUAGUUAGCACUAAGGCAUACACAGAAAUGCUCUCAAGCACAAACUCUCCCCAGAAUGAACCGAGAAAAUACUGGCUUUGCUACACAUCUGCUAUUUCAGCUACAAGUGGUUAUACAUUUAAUUAAGACUGGCUUUAGCAAUGAAGAUAAUUUACAGUUUCACAAGACACGGGUUUUCCAAAAAACCAAAUUAUGUUAAUUCUUCAAACUUCUUAGAAACCAUGUGACCAAAUUAUCCCAGGCACACAUUUCAACUGCCUGGAUGGAAGAAUUUGAUAAGAAUGGAUGUAUUUGAAUGAUUUUUGAAAAAUUUAAGGACAAAUUUUCCUACCUAUUUGUGAUUUCUAUAACUGAGCUCAAUUAUAUAUUCAGUAAAAAGCUAACUCUUUUGGGGACAAUGUCUAUUGUAAUUUUUAAAAAAUAUUUUGAUCAAGAGAUUCGUUAUGUGUCAAAAUGAUAAUAAAGAAAUUUCAAGAUUGAAGUAA